Molecule: ribosomal RNA, 232 nt
Filed under: uncultured bacterium
Lineage: Bacteria
Description: partial 16S ribosomal RNA
Rfam family: Bacterial small subunit ribosomal RNA
Source: RNAcentral
CGGGGUGAGUAACGCGUGGGUAACCUGCCUCAUACAGGGGGAUAACAGUUAGAAAUGGCUGCUAAUACCGCAUAAGACCACAGUACUGCAUGGUACAGUGGUAAAAACUCCGGUGGUAUGAGAUGGACCCGCGUCUGAUUAGGUAGUUGGUGAGGUAACGGCCCACCAAGCCGACGAUCAGUAGCUGACCUGAGAGGGUGACCGGCCACAUUGGGACUGAGACACGGCCCAG